RNAcentral lists this ribosomal RNA (252 nucleotides) under uncultured Bacteroidales bacterium. RNAcentral describes it as "partial 16S ribosomal RNA". It matches the Rfam family "Bacterial small subunit ribosomal RNA", at positions 524 to 776 of the family's 1533-position model. Lineage: Bacteria; Pseudomonadati; Bacteroidota; Bacteroidia; Bacteroidales. The record is from RNAcentral.
UACGGAGGAUGCGAGCGUUAUCCGGAUUUAUUGGGUUUAAAGGGUGCGUAGGCGGACGGUCAAGUCAGCGGUAAAAAUGCGGUGCUCAACGCCGUACAGCCGUUGAAACUGGCAGUCUUGAGUGGGCGAGAAGUAUGCGGAAUGCGUGGUGUAGCGGUGAAAUGCAUAGAUAUCGCGCAGAACCCCGAUUGCGAAGGCAGCGUGCCGUGCCGCCACUGACGCUGAGGCACGAAAGCGCGGGGAUCGAACAGG